AUUGAACGCUGGCGGCAGGCCUAACACAUGCAAGUCGAGCGGAAACGAGUUGUCUGAACUUCGGGGAACGAUAACGGCGUCGAGCGGCGGACGGGUGAGUAAUGCCUAGGAAAUUGCCCUGAUGUGGGGGAUAACCAUUGGAAACGAUGGCUAAUACCGCAUGAUGCCUACGGGCCAAAGAGGGGGACCUUCGGGCCUCUCGCGUCAGGAUAUGCCUAGGUGGGAUUAGCUAGUUGGUGAGGUAAGGGCUCACCAAGGCGACGAUCCCUAGCUGGUCUGAGAGGAUGAUCAGCCACACUGGAACUGAGACACGGUCCAGACUCCUACGGGAGGCAGCAGUGGGGAAUAUUGCACAAUGGGCGCAAGCCUGAUGCAGCCAUGCCGCGUGUGUGAAGAAGGCCUUCGGGUUGUAAAGCACUUUCAGUCGUGAGGAAGGUGGUAGUGUUAAUAGCACUAUCAUUUGACGUUAGCGACAGAAGAAGCACCGGCUAACUCCGUGCCAGCAGCCGCGGUAAUACGGAGGGUGCGAGCGUUAAUCGGAAUUACUGGGCGUAAAGCGCAUGCAGGUGGUUUGUUAAGUCAGAUGUGAAAGCCCGGGGCUCAACCUCGGAAUUGCAUUUGAAACUGGCAGACUAGAGUACUGUAGAGGGGGGUAGAAUUUCAGGUGUAGCGGUGAAAUGCGUAGAGAUCUGAAGGAAUACCGGUGGCGAAGGCGGCCCCCUGGACAGAUACUGACACUCAGAUGCGAAAGCGUGGGGAGCAAACAGG
RNAcentral lists this ribosomal RNA (768 nucleotides) under uncultured bacterium. RNAcentral describes it as "bacterial SSU rRNA". It matches the Rfam family "Bacterial small subunit ribosomal RNA", at positions 28 to 776 of the family's 1533-position model. The record is from RNAcentral.